This is an RNA transcript of Triticum aestivum (bread wheat), 5012 nucleotides long. RefSeq lists it as uncharacterized. The transcript is spliced from 4 exons. The record is from RefSeq and is a predicted model, not a curated record. Lineage: Eukaryota; Viridiplantae; Streptophyta; Magnoliopsida; Poales; Poaceae.
CCCUACUCCGCUCCCUCAUUUCCGUUUCUUUUCCCCACAUGAGUCACGAGGGCGACGGCGGCGGCGGCGGCGAGAUGGCCCUCCGCCCCGGCCCCCCGCAGGCGGCGGCGCCGCUGGAAGACGAGGACGUCCUGGGCGAGAUCCUCGUGCGCCUCCCCCCGCUGCCCUCCUCGCUCGUCCGCGCCGCCGCCGUCUCCAGGCACUGGGGGCGCCUCGCCGCGGACCGCGCCUUCCUCCGCCGCUUCCGCACCCACCACCGGAGGCCCCCCGUCCUCGGCGUCUUCGAGGAGCGCGACGGGGAGCUGUUGUUCACCCCGCUCCUCGACGCCCCCGACCGGAUCCCCCGCGAGCGCUUCUCCAUGCGGUUCUGGCACGUGCUCGGUUCCUGGACCUUGCUCGGGUACCGCCACGGCCGCGUCCUCAUGGUCAACCUGGAUCUGGCCCUGCUCCUCGUUUUCGCCCCUCUCGCCGGCGGCCGCCGAGGCCUCCGCGGCGUGGUGAUUCCUCCGGAUUUCGUCGACGGCGAGUACGCCGUCGCCAACGGAGCUGUGCUCUGCGCUGCCGGCGACGAGCAGGGCCACGUGCACGGAGACUGCCACUCGGGCCCCUUCAAGGUGGUUCUGGUGGCCACCAGAGUGGGACACCCGGUCCUAGCCCGGGUAUACUCCUCAGACACCGGUGAGUGGGGAGAUCUUGUCGUAAUGGCGGAACCAUGUGUUGUUAGCAGCUUCCCCUCCACCCUCGUCGGCAAUGCUCUUUACUGGUGGCUAAAAAAGUGUCAGCACGAGGAUGAUGGCAUACUCAAGUUCGAUUUGGAUAGCCAGACACUAUCUGUGAUCAAGAGGCCUAUUUUUAAUCACAUUCCCAGUUGCAGCAUCCGGAUCAUCAGGGGAGAGCAUGGCGGUGUUGGCCUCGCCGUAUGUUGGUACCCGAGGUUCCAAAUCUGGGAACGCAUGGUCAAUAGUCAUGGUACUGCCAUAUGGGUGCUGCGAAAGACGGCUCGCAUGCAUAGUAUGCUCCAGUAUGCUAUGCUGACUAUAGUAGGGUACUCUGAGGAUGGUGAUGCGCUUCUUCUAACAGUGUCCUUCGGUGGGGGUGUGGCCGCCUACAGCUUCAUGCUUCAACUUGAGUCAAUGGAGUGGACGAAUCUUAAUCAAAGUUUUUUGGAGUAUUCCUACCAUCCGUUCGCAUACUUCUAUACUGCAGGUACUGUCAGAGCGUCAAGUACCGCUCCAGCCAUUGAGCCACCACAGCAGCGAAGUACAAUUCCAGCCAUUGUGCCACCACAGCAGUGAAGUACUGGUCCAGCCAUUCCACAGCUGCGGGGUGGUCGCAUGAUUUAGUUGAUCAGUAGGAUUUGCAUCUGCAGCAGUUGGAUUUGGUCUCUUAACAGCACUUGGUGGUACGAGUUGAAUCAUAGAACAGGAGGCAGGUAAGUACAGGGGACAGGUAAGCAUUGUUAUUAUGAUCUGUUCGUAGCUUCCUAAAAAUGAGUGUACUGUCAUGGUCAUUUGACACAAUGAAGAAAAAACAAAGGAGUGUAGGCUGAUAGAAGUCGUCAUUGUGAGUUGGCACCUUGCUUUCAACAAAAGUUCAUCUCAUUGCUCCCUAUUUGUACGACAGCAAUACAUAUCAGUAAAAUAAAAGGAUGUUUAUUAGCCAGUUUUAGACGUGGUGGCAUAAUAUCAGUAAAAACUAAAGAAUGCUACUAUUCAUCAGAUUUUCCUUUUGCGAAUAUUUGCGUUGCCUUUUUUGGACCAUAACUUUUUGUUCUUUGGCAGAUGCAUAGUGUGCUACUACAAAAUAUUUACUUGAUCCUUGAUUGAAAUGCUUUUAUGAACUGAGAUCUUGCGCUCUGCUUUUACCAAUCAGCCUGUUUGCUUCUUUUCUUACAUGUACUUUAAUUAUACAUUUCUGGAUUUGGUGCUUUGAUUUGCUACAGUUUCCUUGAUUCAGUAGAUGCAUGAUGUGCAUCAGUAUGCUGGACUUCAUGAUCGGUUUUCCAUCUCACAUCAAUAGUUUAGGCCACUAUUUGUUUAUCCAUGCAUUUUAGGUAAACAUUGGUGUAGACUUGGUUGUUUUUUUUGGUUGUUUGUGGUAUCCAUUUCCCCUACACUAGGUAAUUGCCCGUGCCAAUUGGCCCGUGCGUUGCAACUUGCAACGGAGGCAUACAAAAUGUACCACUAAAAUUUUAGUUAGUUUUUUACAUAACAACCAUGAUUUACCUUUAUUGUUAAUGUGAACCUUGAUUUACCAUCUAUUUAUUGUUAAUGUGACUGCAUACUAACUGAUGCAAUUAGCAAGUGUUAAGUGAUAACCUAAUUCUGGAAUAUCAGUUGUGGGAAAGUGCAGCACAAAUUAAUCCUAAUUUAAUUCUUUCCCCAACCUGCUUGGUCCUACAACAGGCAAACAUUAGGUUCCUAGCAACAAAAUGAUAUGCAAGGAGUAAAUUGCAACCCCACAGAAGAGAAAAAAAGGGCUCUUUACCUUCUAUCCUCCCAAUCUGCAAAACAAAUAGAAUUGAGACAUAUCGUGCCAAUUCAAUUACUAAAGCUCAUGUCCAAUUUUGGAAGCUAAUGGCCAAGUAGUUGGCAAUUUUGUUUCUGAAGAGAAAUGCAUUGAUGCAAUUUUGUCCACUUUGGGUCAUUCCCUCUUAACAAAAAUGCCAGUGAUGUUUCUCUGAAUGUAGUAUACUGACCAUUUCAGCAACAUAAUUUCUCUAAGUGACCAUGUAGUAUUCAGUGACUUUUCUAUAUGACUAAUAUGCAACAUGCAUGGAUGGCUGGGAGAUUGGGCAGAGAGAGUUUGUCAUGAAAACUGUUUUUCGCUUUAACUUUCACUUUGUUGUGUUCCCUCUGUCCAUUCUUUCCUCAGUUAAAACUUCACUGCCAAAAACCAGAUUACCUCCUUCCAUGAUCUGCACAAAGGCAUAAGAAUACUAAAGUGUCACCAGACUGAGAGAUGCAAAGUACCAACUGCAUAAAAUCUGUGUCCAAUUCGUUUAGUUAUGGCAAUUACAAAUUUAGUUGUUAAAUAUAUACAAUAAGAAGUUCAGUGUUCUACCAAUUACAUCACAUUAGUAGUCAGUUUAUCCCAUGCAGUGCACAGGAAAAUGUCAAAACAAAGGAGAGGAUGAGGCCGUCUACCUUGCAGAGGAGCAAGCCCGUACUUGCUGCUGCCGGUCCUGGCGCCACCUUCGCGUAGGUGGAGUUCGUCAAGGUCGAGAUAUGCGAGAUCCCCAGAGUGGCGCAUGGCAUAAGAGCACCAAAAGAAUUCAGAGGAGGGGCUCUGAAUCGAACAUAGAAGAAUCAAAUCUUUUGCUUGCGGCGCCGGAUCAUGAGCCCCCGGCGCCAAUCGGCAGGUGCCCCGUCGGCCUCUCUGGGUCAAUGAUGUAGCAGACUGAUGCGAAGGCAGAGCCAGCGGGCGAGGAGGUCAAUGUAAGGAACCGGGGGUUGGCGGUGUCGCGCAGCGCGUUUUUGGGUAGCUCGGACAUCGAAGUGGCACCAGUGAAUCGAGGAGAGGAAGGAGGUGUUGAGGUGUGGGGUGGCGGCUGGCUGCAGCGGAUGUCCGGGAGCGGUAGGCGUGGCGGCAGAGAACAGGGUAAGGGGAUUUAGGGUUGAAGAGUGGUGCGGGAUGGAAAGAUGAGAGAGGUGGGCGAUGGAUUCUGCUGGAUUUUUUUUUCCUUGCGUGGGUUCUUUUGCCAUCUAGAAAACCGAGUGGGGGAGAGGAGCGGCACGAGGCAGGAUGUGAAACGGAAGAGGCGGACGAAAGGAAUGAGCAAAAAGUUUUUUGACGGGAUAAACCUUACUCUUUUUUUGGUAAGUAGAGAUGGUCCGUUUUGUCCUCUAGGAAACCAUUAUUGUUGAGUUGUUCCUUUGUGCUACUGUUCCUCCUUUUUUCCCCCCCCCUUUUGGUGUCUUCCUUCCCUGUUAUGUAGUUCCAUUUUGCACUGGAUUUUGGCAGUGGCAAAGUAAUAAACUUAUCACUGGCGUGCAUUCAUUUGACCUUUUGCUUUGUGCACACAAUCAUGCAUUAAUCUUUGGUUAUGUUGCUAUUAUUCUGUUUAGAGUUUUGCAGUCAGAUGCAUCUUUUGUGAAUAGCUCUUGUAGAGUUAAUCAGUGGGCUAUGGAAAUUUUAUCCCCUCACUCUAUAAGUUGGUUGGUUUGAAGCUUAGCAUAUAUUUUCUCCCUGAAUGCUAUCUAGUAUUUACAAAUAAGAAUGCUCUCAAUAAUGUCCAUGCCUCUAAUUUUUUUUUUGAAGAUUAAAUUCAGUUAGCUAAGUUUCAUUAUAUGGAUUUCUAACAGUUUAAUCUGCAGAAUGUUUUCUGUUUGGUUAAUCUAGCUAAUUUUGCUAUUUCUCCAUUGUUUUGUUGCUUUAAAAGCCAUGUUUAAAUUGUCUUUAUAUUUGAUUAACUGUACUAUGUACAUAAUAAUAUUACCUACUUGGUGAAGUACGUCCUCUAUUGUUUGCUUCUAGUAGCUCCCAAGUUGCCAUUUUUCUGAUAGCCUUUUUUGACCAACAAAGACUGUCAAACUCAUUUUGCCAUUUUUCUGAUCCUGUUAUAUCUUUUUUAUGUUUAUGUCAUUUUCUUGGAUAUAAUUAAGUCAGUGCAUUUUGUUGUUUCCUUGCAACUCAUUUUUUGGGAUUUACUUGGUUUCUUACCAUGUAUCUUGUGGUACAAGCAAUGACUCUGUAUGAGUUUGCGUUGGUAUGCAGGGUUACUUGGCAUGUCAAAGAACCACAAGCCAUAACUGGCCGUGCAAGCAUCUCAGAUCUUGUAGGUUUAUGAAGGUGAGCGCCCUGUUGGCAAAAUAGGGCAUGCGAUCUUCAUAUGUCAAACCCUUGUUAAUGAAUUUGCAUCGUCGAAUGACUUGAUGAAUGUACAUAUCUGGAAAGUUACUCUAUUCUGCUGGUGCAGGCUGGAAUGCUGUUAUAUCCUGUCAAGUUUUGUUGUGCCUAUGUGCCCAACUCACACUGGGCCUGAAAAUCACAAUGCAUCUUGUUUUACUGUA